Molecule: signal recognition particle RNA, 101 nt
Filed under: Planctomycetota bacterium
Lineage: Bacteria; Pseudomonadati; Planctomycetota
Also listed under: 1 other name
Description: signal recognition particle sRNA small type
Rfam family: Bacterial small signal recognition particle RNA
About the family: The signal recognition particle (SRP) is a universally conserved ribonucleoprotein involved in the co-translational targeting of proteins to membranes. Archaeal SRP consists of a 7S RNA and homologues of the eukaryotic SRP19 and SRP54 proteins.
Source: RNAcentral
GGCCGGGUCCCAUGCAAGCUGGGCCCGCGAACCUGGUCAGGCGGGGAACCGAGCAGCCAUAAGCGUGUUGCCCGGCUGUGCUGUGGGUUAACCCGGCCACC